AGACAGCCGGCCAAGCCUGCCCCCGCAGCCGCGCCAGCUCUGCCAAGCCCGGCAGAGCUGGGGGCCCAGGGUGGUACCCGCUUCCCUCGAGCGAGCAGUCCCGCUGACCUCGUGCCCGCGCAGGGAUCAGGACCCAGCACCCUCCUCCUCCCCGCGCUCCAGAUGGAGCAACUCAACCCAAAAAGGUUGGUCUGUAUGGUGACGGAAUGUGGUCUCCCAGUUUUCAGCACAGCACUCAUUCAGCUAUUCUGCUCUUCAGAAAGCAGGAGGGAUGUGCCCUAAGGUGGACUAUUGAAAUGAUGAAAGCCACUGAGGAAGAGCCAGAGAAUUCUCGUAGCUGUGAUUAGACAUCAACCUUGGGCAUGCUAAACAUUUCAGCCUGGACACCCUGAGAAGAGCCAGUGCCACUGGUGACA
This 416-nucleotide long non-coding RNA is filed under the name Homo sapiens (human). RNAcentral's name for it is "non-protein coding INKA2-AS1:14". The record is from RNAcentral. Lineage: Eukaryota; Metazoa; Chordata; Mammalia; Primates; Hominidae.